Molecule: non-coding RNA, 722 nt
Organism: Lolium perenne
Lineage: Eukaryota; Viridiplantae; Streptophyta; Magnoliopsida; Poales; Poaceae
Source: RefSeq, a predicted model, not a curated record
ACAGCGCGCGGGUGUCACCGCAGCAACGUUAACGUUGCACGGCGACGUUCUCUUAAGGCAACGGCAUCCGACGAUUGAGGAUCGGCGCAGAAUGUUACGUAUCCUACCACUAACUGUGGAGAGGUAGAGGCAACACCUGUUCACGGUUGUUCUCAAAUUCGGAGAGCAUCUUAAGGGUCAGGUCCUGGCAACCAAAAGGUUGCCAAGACUCUUCAACGUGAGCAACAUCCGAGACCAACAGCGGGAGCGAGGCUGCCUUGGUAGCACCGGGCACUAGGAGUGCCGGAACCACGAGGAAACGCCGCAAGCGCCGUUAGGCCGCAGCGGCACACCCGAAGGUGUCCACCGCGAGGCAAACGUGUUAGAAGCACCACUUCCCGUAGGUCGGGUACCAGCACGCAAGCACUUGAAAGGCGACAUCAUCAUAUAAGCCAAACGAACGACGGGACACGGCGCCUGUAGUCGGCCGCACGAAGACGGGGGAUCUACCGGCAGACACGGGUCCAAAGCUACUCAUGCGCUCGCGUAGCCAACAUCGGUCAAGCCUCCCGAGCCUCCCACCACGCGUAAGCACGGUGGGAUUGCUCUGUGUAGGCGUCCUGAGUGUCCACAGCGCGCGGGUGUCACCGCAGCAACGGUAACGUUGCACGGCGACGUUCUCUUAAGGCAACGGCAUCCGUUCAUUGAGGAUCGGCGCAGAAUGUUACGUAUCCUACCACUAA